This is a long non-coding RNA of Scylla paramamosain (green mud crab), 1070 nucleotides long. RefSeq lists it as uncharacterized. The transcript is spliced from 4 exons. The record is from RefSeq and is a predicted model, not a curated record. NCBI's taxonomy places the organism in Eukaryota, Metazoa, Arthropoda, Malacostraca, Decapoda, Portunidae.
AAAUAAAAUUGUUCCCAGUGGAGUGCUUGACAUUUUGAAAUUCGCGUCACAAUGUGGAACCAAAACAGUGCCGUUGCGAAGAUUGUAUAAUUUGUAUGGCCGCCACCGAUCGGAUCUCUCCCUCGCCACAGCAUCCUCACGUAAAUCUACAUGUAUAUACAUCACCAAGGCAGGAACUUGUUGUAGCGGUGAUGAGUGUGUUAUUCUGACAUGUAACAUUCCACCAGACCACCACAACCACAAGUACAGUAUGAAGUGGCAGUCAAACACACCACCACUACCACUACUACCACUACUACUACUACUACUAACAGUGUGUGGAAGCUGCCGGUCUCUCUCAGCAUCACUACGAUUUUGGGGACUGGACGGCAAUAGUGGUGCUGACGGCAGUACUGGAGUAUUAAGGAUGUUAGGCAGCCAUUAUACAGUGGUGGAUGGCGGGCUGGCUUCCACACUGCAGGCUGAGGGGUACGAGGUGGAUGGCGACCCAUUGUGGAGUGCUCGGCUGCUGGCAACACACCCAAGCGCCAUUAAAAAGGUACACACAUUAUUUUUAGAAGCAGGAGCAGAGGUGGUGGUGUGUGGCAGUUACCAGAGCAGUGUGCCAGGCUUCCAGCAGCUCCUUGGCACCACACAGAAAGUGGCACUGGCAACUUAUUGAACGCUCCGCCACUCUGGCACUCGAAGCUGUACAGGAGUUUGAGGGGAAGAGAGGAACUGGAGGUGAGGAGACAGGAGGAGGAGGAGGAAGGAGGACAAACAGGGAUGAGAAGGAAAGAUGGAAGAACAUUAAAGGAAAUGAGGAGAAGGGAUGAUAGAAGGGAGAGGGAAGAAAGCAAGGAGGAAGAGGAGGAGGAGAAAGGAAUGAGAAUAUGAAGAGAAGAUAGGAAGGAAAACAGGAAAUUGAGGAAAAGAGAAGAUGAGAUAGAGAAAGAGAGGGAAGUAGACUGGCUGGCUGGCUGGCUGACUAACUGACUGACUGACUGGCUGGCUGGCUGGCUGGCUGGCUGGCUGGCUGGCUGGCUGGCUGGCUGGCUGACUGACUGACUGACUGACUGACUGACUGACUG